GGAAAAAUAAUGUGCAAGCAACUCAAGCACUUAAAAUGCCUGAGGGUCCUGAGCACGCUGCUCAGUGAAGCUUCGCUGUGACCAGAGGUGUGAGUGCUUUUCAGCCCAUCACAGUGGCAGAUGUUGACGCUGUGUGACACAGGAACCACCUGGGCCACAGACUGCUGAACUUUCCACUGAAAUCACGGAAGGCUCUGGCAUUGCGUGGGUAUUCGAGUCACUAUUUGGGUCACGCUCUGAGAAAAUGUGCAAAGCUGUUUGUCUCCCAGUCAGAGACGAAUGGGAGCGACUGCUGGCAUACUGAGGUGUCACACUGAAGAAGAGUGCAGGCAGAGCUGGGCUGGCAAGAACGUGGUCUGCAAGGAACUUGCUUCUUUUGGAUAGGUCGUAAAGCAGGACUGAGCUCAUUGUCUUAGAGUUGAAGGAUGCCUUAGCCUAGAACGAUGCAAAAGGAGUUGGGUCAGACCACCCUAGAGGAGCAUGGAAAUGAGCCAUUUCCACACCAUUUGCCUGGAAGAUCCACACUUUUCUUUGGAUUCAGUCUCUUCAAUUUGAUAAAGACUCAUAAAAGAAGAUGUAGUAAAAAUGUCCAGAUAAACGCCUGGUUUGUGAUCCUCAUAGUCCCUCUUGAAAUCACAAUUCUCAUUUCGAUAGUGAGGAACUGUGACAUACACAAAUCAAUCGAGUUGUCUUAAUCAAGCAAGGAGAUGCUUAGAGCUGGAAUGUAAGGAGCUGAGCUUAGUGUUCUUAAUUCAGACUGCCAGACCAUGCUGUCCUCCAAAGUGUUAGGUUAGUAGGCUUUAUGAACUAUUCUUUUUAUUUCACAUGUUUUAUGUGAAAUUUAUCAAUUCUACUCUCUGCAAGAUAACAUUGUGUGGAGCACAUAGAAAAUCACUACUUUUAGGUGCCAAUCAGUUUACCUGCUUAGCAUGGUGCCACUGCCGCCUUUGUCUGAAGGCAUUAAAUUCUUGACAGAGCGUGGCUCUUCUUCUGAAGGGACACUGCCCAAAAGUGUGCCAUGGUUUUGAGAGCCAGGGCCUGUGGUGACGAAGGGGAGCCCUGCAGUCCCCCGCAGCAGCCUGGAGAGUACCCAGCAAAGACCUCAACCAGGGCCAUGAAAAUUAGCCAGCAUAGGUACUGUGCCAAAUCAUUUGAGAGAAAUGCCAGCUGGCCGAGCUGUUAAGCUGUCUUUUCUAGGAGGGAUUCCACUUUCUAGAAAUUUGCCUACUGCAUAUCUAAUGUCUAUUCUCAGUUUACUUUCG
This 1262-nucleotide long non-coding RNA is filed under the name Anser brachyrhynchus (Pink-footed goose). RNAcentral describes it as "lncRNA (ENSABRG00000010441.1)". The record is from RNAcentral. Lineage: Eukaryota; Metazoa; Chordata; Aves; Anseriformes; Anatidae.